This 1385-nucleotide non-coding RNA is filed under the name Pongo abelii (Sumatran orangutan). The record is from RNAcentral. Lineage: Eukaryota; Metazoa; Chordata; Mammalia; Primates; Hominidae.
GACGUUAGCAUGGCCGCGGCCCCUGACUGCCCAGCUCGCUUCUAUCCCUCGAGCGGCAGGAAUCCGUCCCCACGCCCUUUUCCUUUAAAGGGCAACGGGCCGAAGGUGGGGCGGGCGGCGCGGCUCCCGCGAUCCAUUCAGGUCAAAAGGGAGAGUGAUCAAACAGGAGAGCCGAGGGGACCUAUAUUCAGAGACUUAACCGGACACCUGGACAGACCAUUACAACUUGGGACUUUUCAGGAGAAUGAGGGAAAUAUAGUUAUUGCACCUGAGCCUCACUCCAGCUCUGAGGUCCUCUUCACUUCUCUUUCGAAGAAGAUUUGAUAUCUUUUCCAAGUUGAAAGAGUAGAGAUCUAAUUUCUCCAAGGGUCAUUGCUUUUUGACACGGGAUUAUUAGAAGCAUUCAUUCAUCUAUCAAGGAGUUUUGGGAUACUUGCCAUAAGCCAAGCCCUCUGAUAGGUGCUGGAAACAUCAAGCUCUGUGCUCAGGAAGUUCACCCCUGGACUCCAUCCGUGAACUCCUUUGCUGUCUUCCCAUUGGAUUCAGCCAGUCCACGGUCCUGGAAGAAGAAAUACUUUCCCAGACAAAUAAAAGCGAGGAAUGUCAUCAACAUCAGACCUGUCUUACAAAAAAUGCUAAAGGAAGUUCUUCAAUCCAAAAGAAAAAGAUGUUAAUGAGCAAAAAGAAAUCAUGUGAAGGUGCAAAACUUACUGGUAUUUGUAAGUACAAAGAAAACAGAAUAUUAUAACGCCGUAACUUACAUGCUGUGGUGUGUAAACUACUCAUAUGUUAAGUAAAAAGAUGAAAAUAUAAAUCAAUUAAAAUAAUAAUUGCAACAACUUUUCAAGAUAUAGACAGUACAAUAAGAUACAAAUAGAAACAACAAAAUGUUAAAAAGCAGGGUUACACAGUUAAGGUGUAAAGGUUUUAUUAGUUUUCCCUUUGCUUCUUUGUUUAUGCAAUCAGUGUUUAGUUGUCAUCAGUUUAAAAUAAUGGGUUAUAGGAUAUUAUUUGCAAACCUUAUGGUGACCUCAAAUCAAAAACAUACAACAGAUACGUGAAAAAUAAAAAGCAAGAAAUUAAAACAUACCACUGGAGAAAAUCACCUUUAGUAACAGAAAGACAGGAAGGAAGGGAAGAAGGAAGAGAAGACCACAAAACAACCAGAAAACUCACAACAAAAUGGCAGGAUUAAGUCUUUAUUUAUCAACAAUAACAUUGAAUGUAAGUGGACUAAACUCUCCAAUCAAAAGACAUAGAGUGGCUAAAUGGAUAACAAAACAAGACUCAAUAAUCUGUGGCCUACAAGAAACACACUUCACCUAUAAAAACGCAUAUAGUUUAAAAAUAAAGGGAUAGAGAAAGCUAUUCCAUGGAAACAGAAA